RNAcentral lists this ribosomal RNA (254 nucleotides) under uncultured bacterium. RNAcentral's name for it is "partial 16S ribosomal RNA". It matches the Rfam family "Bacterial small subunit ribosomal RNA", at positions 524 to 776 of the family's 1533-position model. The record is from RNAcentral.
UACAGAGGGUGCGAGCGUUGUUCGGAAUUACUGGGCGUAAAGCGCGCGCAGGCGGCUUUCUAAGUCUGGUGGUCAAAUGCCGGGGCUCAACCCCGAGCGUGCCAGGGAUACUGGGAGGCUGGAGACAGGUAGAGGCAAGCGGAAUUCCGGGUGUAGCGGUGGAAUGCGUAGAGAUCCGGAAGAACACCGGAGGCGAAGGCGGCUUGCUGGACCUGGUCUGACGCUGAGGCGCGAAAGCGUGGGGAGCGAACAGG